This 1577-nucleotide ribosomal RNA is filed under the name Salmonella enterica subsp. enterica serovar Enteritidis. RNAcentral's name for it is "partial 23S ribosomal RNA". It matches the Rfam family "Bacterial large subunit ribosomal RNA", at positions 1243 to 2803 of the family's 2925-position model. The record is from RNAcentral. Lineage: Bacteria; Pseudomonadati; Pseudomonadota; Gammaproteobacteria; Enterobacterales; Enterobacteriaceae.
UAAGCCUGCGAAGGUGGCCUGUGAGGGUUGCUGGAGGUAUCAGAAGUGCGAAUGCUGACAUAAGUAACGAUAAAGCGGGUGAAAAGCCCGCUCGCCGGAAGACCAAGGGUUCCUGUCCAACGUUAAUCGGGGCAGGGUGAGUCGACCCCUAAGGCGAGGCCGAAAGGCGUAGUCGAUGGGAAACGGGUUAAUAUUCCCGUACUUGGUGUUACUGCGAAGGGGGGACGGAGAAGGCUAUGUUGGCCGGGCGACGGUUGUCCCGGUUUAAGCGUGUAGGUGUGUGUUCCAGGUAAAUCCGGUUCACUUUAACACUGAGGCGUGACGACGAGGCACUACGGUGCUGAAGCAACAAAUGCCCUGCUUCCAGGAAAAGCCUCUAAGCAUCAGGUAACAUCAAAUCGUACCCCAAACCGACACAGGUGGUCAGGUAGAGAAUACCAAGGCGCUUGAGAGAACUCGGGUGAAGGAACUAGGCAAAAUGGUGCCGUAACUUCGGGAGAAGGCACGCUGACACGUAGGUGAAGUGAUUUACUCAUGGAGCUGAAGUCAGUCGAAGAUACCAGCUGGCUGCAACUGUUUAUUAAAAACACAGCACUGUGCAAACACGAAAGUGGACGUAUACGGUGUGACGCCUGCCCGGUGCCGGAAGGUUAAUUGAUGGGGUCAGCGCAAGCGAAGCUCCUGAUCGAAGCCCCGGUAAACGGCGGCCGUAACUAUAACGGUCCUAAGGUAGCGAAAUUCCUUGUCGGGUAAGUUCCGACCUGCACGAAUGGCGUAAUGAUGGCCAGGCUGUCUCCACCCGAGACUCAGUGAAAUUGAACUCGCUGUGAAGAUGCAGUGUACCCGCGGCAAGACGGAAAGACCCCGUGAACCUUUACUAUAGCUUGACACUGAACAUUGAGCCUUGAUGUGUAGGAUAGGUGGGAGGCUUUGAAGUGUGGACGCCAGUCUGCAUGGAGCCGACCUUGAAAUACCACCCUUUAAUGUUUGAUGUUCUAACGUGGACCCGUUACCCGGGUUGCGGACAGUGUCUGGUGGGUAGUUUGACUGGGGCGGUCUCCUCCUAAAGAGUAACGGAGGAGCACGAAGGUUGGCUAAUCCUGGUCGGACAUCAGGAGGUUAGUGCAAUGGCAUAAGCCAGCUUGACUGCGAGCGUGACGGCGCGAGCAGGUGCGAAAGCAGGUCAUAGUGAUCCGGUGGUUCUGAAUGGAAGGGCCAUCGCUCAACGGAUAAAAGGUACUCCGGGGAUAACAGGCUGAUACCGCCCAAGAGUUCAUAUCGACGGCGGUGUUUGGCACCUCGAUGUCGGCUCAUCACAUCCUGGGGCUGAAGUAGGUCCCAAGGGUAUGGCUGUUCGCCAUUUAAAGUGGUACGCGAGCUGGGUUUAGAACGUCGUGAGACAGUUCGGUCCCUAUCUGCCGUGGGCGCUGGAGAACUGAGGGGGGCUGCUCCUAGUACGAGAGGACCGGAGUGGACGCAUCACUGGUGUUCGGGUUGUCAUGCCAAUGGCACUGCCCGGUAGCUAAAUGCGGAAGAGAUAAGUGCUGAAAGCAUCUAAGCACGAAACUUGCCCCGAG